UAAGUAUAUGAGGUGAUUAAUUGGAGGGCAAAUCAAGUGCCAGCAGCCGCGGUAAUACUUGUUCCAAGAGUGUGUAUGAUGAUUGAUGCAGUUAAAAAGUCCGUAGUUUAUUUUUUUAAAACAAAGGGUAGAAUUGGGAAAAGAAGGACACCCA
This 154-nucleotide ribosomal RNA is filed under the name Vairimorpha ceranae. Its description in RNAcentral is "Nosema ceranae partial small subunit ribosomal RNA". It matches the Rfam family "Microsporidia small subunit ribosomal RNA", at positions 354 to 507 of the family's 1311-position model. Lineage: Eukaryota; Fungi; Microsporidia; Nosematidae. The record is from RNAcentral.